RNAcentral lists this transfer RNA (69 nucleotides) under Lophocebus aterrimus (Black crested mangabey). RNAcentral describes it as "tRNA-Ala". It matches the Rfam family "tRNA". Rfam says of the family: Transfer RNA (tRNA) molecules are approximately 80 nucleotides in length. Their secondary structure includes four short double-helical elements and three loops (D, anti-codon, and T loops). Lineage: Eukaryota; Metazoa; Chordata; Mammalia; Primates; Cercopithecidae. The record is from RNAcentral.
GAGGGCUUAGCUUAAUUAAAGUGGUUGAUUUGCGUUCAGUUGAUGCGGAAUGGAUAUCUGCAGCCCUUA